UACGUAGGGUGCGAGCGUUGUCCGGAAUUAUUGGGCGUAAAGAGCUCGUAGGCGGUUUGUCGCGUCUGCUGUGAAAACCCGAGGCUCAACCUCGGGCCUGCAGUGGGUACGGGCAGACUAGAGUGCGGUAGGGGAGAUUGGAAUUCCUGGUGUAGCGGUGGAAUGCGCAGAUAUCAGGAGGAACACCAAUGGCGAAGGCAGCUCGCUGGAACGGUACUGACGCUGAGGCGCGAAAGCGUGGGGAGCAAACAGG
This 253-nucleotide ribosomal RNA is filed under the name uncultured bacterium. RNAcentral's name for it is "partial 16S ribosomal RNA". It matches the Rfam family "Bacterial small subunit ribosomal RNA", at positions 524 to 776 of the family's 1533-position model. The record is from RNAcentral.